AGAGAAUUGGCCGAGUGGUUUAAGGCGGUAAGCUUGAGUCUUAUUAGGUUAUAUUCUAGCCGGGCAUCCUUGUUCAAAUCGGAUAUUCUCUG
Molecule: transfer RNA, 92 nt
Filed under: Fusarium graminearum
Lineage: Eukaryota; Fungi; Ascomycota; Sordariomycetes; Hypocreales; Nectriaceae
Description: tRNA-Ser
Rfam family: tRNA
About the family: Transfer RNA (tRNA) molecules are approximately 80 nucleotides in length. Their secondary structure includes four short double-helical elements and three loops (D, anti-codon, and T loops).
Source: RNAcentral